RNAcentral lists this long non-coding RNA (425 nucleotides) under Lathyrus oleraceus (garden pea). Its description in RNAcentral is "Pisum sativum (pea) long non-coding RNA (PSAT_LNC019500)". The record is from RNAcentral. Lineage: Eukaryota; Viridiplantae; Streptophyta; Magnoliopsida; Fabales; Fabaceae.
UUGGCCUUUUACAUGGAUGGUUUUCUCAAUAGAAGACUCUUAAUCUAGUUUGUGUGGAUUACUUUUUAGUGAGGAAACUCCAAUGUUUUGUGCGGAUGAAUUUCUUGUGAGAAAUCCCCAAAAUUAUCAGAUGUCUUCUUAAGUGUCAGGUCAGGAUUGAAUGUGUUUGAUAAAACAUACUUUGAAUAUUCCCUAGUGUAUUUUCCCCAACAAUUUGUCAUCCCCGGUGAGUCUUCACUUGUUGCCUUUGACGUUUCCUAUGAAUCACCACUACUGUAUUUCCAUCAUUCCCCACAGGUCUGUUUAUCAUCCAUCAUAAAAAAAAUCAUGUUAUGAUUCAUCAUAUAUCCAACAAGCUAAAAAAGAAGUUUGUCAGCUCAUAACACAACAUGUCAUUCCACCUAUGGGCAAAAUUUGGGGUUUCU